AAAGAUGCAAGAGCUGUUAGAAUUUUGGUCGACAAUGAUCAAGAACUCUAUCUUUCCCCAGGUUUUAUACCUUUCUUUUUUUCUUUUUCCCAAUUUUUUUUUCUUUCUCUAUGGCUUUAAUUUUUCUUCCUUCUUCUGUGUUCAUGAUGACUCUCAAGAUUAAGCAUUCCAUGAGUUGGAAUAAAAAGGUGAGUUUACAUUCAUUUAUGGAUUCUUCUAGUUCUCCCUUUAGUUUCUUGGUAAAUUAGAUGACCUACAAAAACUUUGCCUUCUUUUGUCCCUUAUCUUUAAUUAUGGUGUUUUCAAUUAUUUGCACAACUGAUUUCUUUCCUUUUCCAUAUUAGAUGUUUGGAAGGUUUUAUUUGUAGUUGCCCAUACGUGGAAUCACUCCAUCACAAUUCAAUUUAGAUGGACUUUGAUUUUUAUGAGAGUUGUUUGUAGCCUUUUGAUUAAAUAGCUGAUAAUUUAGUUUUGAUGCAUUUGGAUUUUUAUGAGAGUAAUUAUAAUAAUUUUGUGGUCGCAAUUUAGUUUAGAUGCAAUUUGACUUUUACGGGAGAUUUCAAUAGCUUUUUGAUUGAAUAUUUAUUUAUUUAUUUUAGAUGAUGAUAGUGAUCAAUAAUGAUGAAGAGUCUCUUAAGACAGACAGGAAACAAACUCUAAUAUUAUGAUUUAUGUUAUUUAUUUAUUUUGAAUGAUGAUAAUGAUGAAUGAUCCCUCCAAUUUUGAGUUAUGGUUUGCGUUAUUUAUUUAUUUAUUUUGAAUGAUGAUAGAGAUUGAUAAUGAUGGAUGAUCUGUCAAAAGAGGCCGAUGACAAGUUAGACAGUUCCAAUUUAUCCU
RNAcentral lists this long non-coding RNA (837 nucleotides) under Vitis vinifera (wine grape). RNAcentral's name for it is "long non-coding RNA (VVIN_LNC002098)". Lineage: Eukaryota; Viridiplantae; Streptophyta; Magnoliopsida; Vitales; Vitaceae. The record is from RNAcentral.